UGGGGAAUAUUGCACAAUGGGGGAAACCCUGAUGCAGCGACGCCGCGUGAACGAAGAAGGUAUUCGUAUCGUAAAGUUCUGUCCUAUGGGAAGAUAAUGACAGUACCAUAGAAGAAAGCUCCGGCUAAAUACGUGCCAGCAGCCGCGGUAAUACGUAUGGAGCGAGCGUUGUCCGGAAUUAUUGGGCGUAAAGGGUACGCAGGCGGUUUAAUAAGUCGAAUGUUAAAGAUCGGGGCUCAACCCCGUAAAGCAUUGGAAACUGAUAAACUUGAGUAGAGGAGAGGAAAGUGGAAUUCCUAGUGUAGUGGUGAAAUACGUAGAUAUUAGGAGGAAUACCAGUAGCGAAGGCGACUUUCUGGACACAAACUGACGCUGAGGUACGAAAGCGUGGGGAGCAAACAGG
RNAcentral lists this ribosomal RNA (403 nucleotides) under bacterium. RNAcentral's name for it is "partial 16S ribosomal RNA". It matches the Rfam family "Bacterial small subunit ribosomal RNA", at positions 355 to 776 of the family's 1533-position model. The record is from RNAcentral.